This is a non-coding RNA of Biomphalaria pfeifferi, 1227 nucleotides long. The record is from the annotation of a GenBank genome assembly. NCBI's taxonomy places the organism in Eukaryota, Metazoa, Mollusca, Gastropoda, Planorbidae.
UGUAUAUAUAUAUAUAUAUAUAUACAUAUGUAUAUAUGCAUGUAUGUAUGUAUAUUGAACUAAUUUUAUCUUGAUAUGUGUUGGUUUACUUGUUCUCAUGUUAUCUAAAAUAUACUUAUGUACCCGGUACCUUAAGUGAUAUAUUUGUGUAACAGGUCGGUAUCAUGGAUGUGAUAAUUCCAUUGGGUUAGGGUUCCACUAAAAAAAAAUUCUGAAAUACAUAUAAUGUAUUUUGUUAUUAGUUCUUCCCAGUAGCGACAAUUCUCAACAGUUAACUUAACUAGAAUUUUUUUAAUUUUCAUUUCUCACCUGGUGAAACCCUGCUUUGGACUACUGCAUGAACUAGAGUACCGGGACAUUUCAACUUUAACAAAAGCUUUUGUCAUGGUUUCAUACUUAACAUCAAAAAAAAAGUUUUAGUUAAUUUUAACAUGUAAUUAUAAGUUACUGGUAUCUCAAAUAUUUUUUUUUAUCGAGCAUUAUUCACAUAGAGAUUGCAACAUUCUUUAUAGAAAAUCGAUUUAUGAAGAUACACAGCCAAGUUGUUGUUAUUUGUGUAGGCCUACUCCAUAAACAAGAAAAGAUGUUACAAAUAGGAGUACCGUGUAAGUGGGUCAGCAACCAAAUGGAUAUCUCCAGCAAACUCAACCAGAACUUUAUAUCUUUGGCAUUAUAUUUACAUAGAUUCAAUUUUUAUUUUCCUCUUCAACUUAUAAAAAAGUCCUCAUUUCUAUUAUAUUCACCAUAACAAUAGAGAAAAGUGGUAAUAUAUUAUACUUAAAUGUAUUAUUGAUUUUUUUUUUUUUUGCUGACUGCUAGUUCGAAUUGAAUUAUUGAUUAAGACAUGUUUUAAUAUCUAUUAUCCUCAAGUUAAGGUUUUAUGGGAUACUAGGAAACAAUAAACAAUCAUAUUUUGCAACAUCAAUUUAUUUGUAAUGUUCUAUGCUUUUGCAUAUUUUACACUCCAAACAAUGUCUGAUCACUCAAACACCAGCGAGAAACUAAUUUCAAGUAUGAACUCAAACAGAAAUACUUUUUAAAAUAAAUACAGAGUGUUUAUUCUAGAAUUUGGAAUCAGUAUAUUAUUGAAGUUCUUAUAAAUAAACAAUACAAUUUCUAUAUAUUUGCAAUGCAUUUCCUUAUAAAGUCUCUACAAUCGACGUCUUUUCCCCAUUGCGGGAAACAUCUAAGCUAUUUUAGGCACCAAUGGAAACUUCCUCAUGUCGU